This 232-nucleotide ribosomal RNA is filed under the name uncultured bacterium. Its description in RNAcentral is "partial 16S ribosomal RNA". It matches the Rfam family "Bacterial small subunit ribosomal RNA", at positions 14 to 237 of the family's 1533-position model. The record is from RNAcentral.
GUAUCCUGGCUCAGGAUGAACGCUAGCGACAGGCUUAACACAUGCAAGUCGAGGGGCGAGCAUGAUUGUAGCAUACAGAUUGAUGGCGACCGGCGCACGGGUGAGUAACGCGUAUGCAACUUACCUAUCAGAGGGGGAUAGCCCGGCGAAAGUCGGAUUAAUACCCCAUAAAACAGGGGUCCCGCAUGGGAAUAUUUGUUAAAGAUUCAUCGCUGAUAGAUAGGCAUGNGUU